UACGUAGGGUGCGAGCGUUAAUCGGAAUUACUGGGCGUAAAGCGUGCGCAGGCGGUGAUGUAAGACCGAUGUGAAAUCCCCGGGCUUAACCUGGGAACUGCAUUGGUGACUGCAUUGCUGGAGUAUGGCAGAGGGGGGUGGAAUUCCACGUGUAGCAGUGAAAUGCGUAGAGAUGUGGAGGAACACCGAUGGCGAAGGCAGCCCCCUGGGCCAAUACUGACGCUGAGGAGCGAAAGCGUGGGGAGCGAACAGG
RNAcentral lists this ribosomal RNA (253 nucleotides) under uncultured bacterium. Its description in RNAcentral is "partial 16S ribosomal RNA". It matches the Rfam family "Bacterial small subunit ribosomal RNA", at positions 524 to 776 of the family's 1533-position model. The record is from RNAcentral.